UACGUAGGGGGCAAGCGUUAUCCGGAUUUACUGGGUGUAAAGGGAGCGUAGACGGCCAGACAAGUCAGAAGUGAAAACCCGCGGCUCAACUGCGGGAGUGCUUUUGAAACUGUUUGGCUGGAGUGCAGGAGAGGUAAGUGGAAUUCCUAGUGUAGCGGUGAAAUGCGUAGAUAUUAGGAGGAACACCAGUGGCGAAGGCGGCUUACUGGACUGUAACUGACGUUGAGGCUCGAAAGCGUGGGGAGCAAACA
RNAcentral lists this ribosomal RNA (251 nucleotides) under uncultured bacterium. RNAcentral describes it as "partial 16S ribosomal RNA". It matches the Rfam family "Bacterial small subunit ribosomal RNA", at positions 524 to 774 of the family's 1533-position model. The record is from RNAcentral.